RNAcentral lists this ribosomal RNA (253 nucleotides) under uncultured bacterium. RNAcentral describes it as "partial 16S ribosomal RNA". It matches the Rfam family "Bacterial small subunit ribosomal RNA", at positions 524 to 776 of the family's 1533-position model. The record is from RNAcentral.
UACGUAGGGGGCAAGCGUUGUCCGGAAUCAUUGGGCGUAAAGAGCGUGUAGGCGGCUCGAUAAGUCUGCUGUGAAAGUCCAGGGCUCAACCCUGGAAGGCCGGUGGAAACUGUCGGGCUAGAGUCCGGAAGAGGCGAGUGGAAUUCCCAGUGUAGAGGUGAAAUUCGUAGAUAUUGGGAAGAACACCGGUGGCGAAGGCGGCUCACUGGCUCGUUUCUGACGCUCAGGCGCGACAGCGUGGGGAUCAAACAGG